AAAGGCUUGAGGGGUGACAUGAUGUUCUGUCAGUGCUCUUACAGCGGUUCACGUUAGAAGCUGCUGGGUUGGGACAGUGUGCUGAGGGGACACCGUGCCUUGUAUGUUUACUGUUACAGUUACGAAUGUUGACUACGAUGAUGACAUUAAAUACAGCCUCAGCAUCAGAAUAUAAACUCAAGGGGUGGACUGUCCAUAGGGAGAACCGGAACUUUUCCCGGUGGGCCGGCCGAGAAAUGGGGCGAACGGACCACGAUAAGCUGAACGGGUCAUGACAAGCUGAAGUGAGCCGCAAAAUGCUGUGCGAUAUUCCAUUCCAGUGUCUGAUGAAUUCCUGCUUUAAUCUUUGUACCAGGAGUGGCAUAAAGUCAGCAAUGUGAAAGACUGGUAGAAAGAGGGCAAAGACACACGAAAGCUGGGAUUGAAAAUCAGGGUUAUUCCACCAAAUAUUGAUUUCUGAACUCUUCCUAAGUUAAAACAUUAGUAUUGUGUUGUUUAAAAAUGAAUAUGAACUUCUUUUUUUGCAUUAUUCAAGGUCUGAAAACACUGCAUCUUUUUUGUUAUUUUGACCAGUUGUCAUUUUCUGCAAAUAAAUGCUCUAAAUGACAUUUCUAUUUGGAAUUUGGGAGAAAUGUUGUCAGUACUUUAUAGAAUGAAACAAAAAUUUUCAUUUUACUCAACACACAUACCUAUAAAUAGUAAAUCCAGAGAAACUGAACAUUUGGAGUGGUCCAAAUUUUUUCCAGAGCUGCAUAUAUGGGGCGUUUUCCAAAAGGGCACGUCACUCGAAGAGUCAUUUCAAACAAAAGAAAGUAAGUUUAUUUUUUCACAAAAGGCCCUUUUACAAAAAUAUUUUUUGUGAUGGCUACAAUCAAAUUGUAAUGCCAUGCUUUCUUUAGAGA
This is a long non-coding RNA of Myxocyprinus asiaticus (Chinese sucker), 902 nucleotides long. RefSeq lists it as uncharacterized. The record is from RefSeq and is a predicted model, not a curated record. The transcript is spliced from 3 exons. NCBI's taxonomy places the organism in Eukaryota, Metazoa, Chordata, Actinopteri, Cypriniformes, Catostomidae.